RNAcentral lists this long non-coding RNA (2000 nucleotides) under Daphnia pulicaria. RNAcentral describes it as "uncharacterized LOC124312216, transcript variant X1". The record is from RNAcentral. Lineage: Eukaryota; Metazoa; Arthropoda; Branchiopoda; Diplostraca; Daphniidae.
CAUUUGUUUCCGAGACGCUGACUGAAAGUGUAUUGUAUUCCAAAUUCAAUUCAUUGCGGAAUUGAGGUGUCGGAUCUACAUUUUCAGCCAAAUGUAAUUGGCUAUCUGGCAUACACUUGGCCAAAUGUGAUGACGGGUCGAAACUGCUGUCCAUUCUCGGCAUUUUGUCGAAAAGUCGACCAUUGUUAGCUGUAUGUCUCAUGUCGUGCAGAAACACUUCAGAGCUAGUAAAUUGAUUUUCAGGUCGGAGAUGGAGAUCCCUUUGCUCAACUGUUGCAGAAAUUGAGAACAUGACAAAGUCUGAGCUUCUCAGCUUCAAGGAUGUUGUAUCUUCAAUGUGGUUUUGUUGCAGCCAGCUGGAGUUCAUGGUUACUGGUUAGUUUGAGCUGUUUGGUGUACAGUGGUUUUGCAGUCCCUUUCCAGCAGUUGAGAGAUGCUCUGAAAUGGAGCUUGUGCAGACUUGCAGUUCAACAUCACACUUAAAUGUGUCAUUUGUCUAUGUUAGUGUCCAUGCAGUAUAUGCAUUGUUGAACAGUUGGUUAAAAUAGUCUAUGCUGCCUGAUGGCUGUCGGUCUUAUUUUAUCGGUUGCAUUUGGUGAUAAUCGUCUCUUGCUACCUGUACCGGCGUUGAGUUGAAUCGUUUGCUGCCGUUCCAUAGACUUGAUCCAUUGAUAAAACUGAGGAGAGGUUGCUGAAAUUCAAGACUCGUCAAUAAAUUAUGUAGAUGUAGACAAAUUACAGGUGCAUAUCUGGGCUCCCUUCUUCAGUGGCCCCGUUUCCCUAAAUAACCACUAACCAACGCCCGCCGGCGGUCACUCACUCGCUGCGACAACCAGGAGGAAGGGAGAUGUUUGGUCGAACGGGGACUUGCAAGGCGCAUGAUUCGAUAAAAUCUGUUGAAGGGUCAUGAGUCUAAGCCGGAAGCCUACUAUGUUGCAUUGCUCUCAUAAUAACUGCUCUUCAGCUCUCUUCGCUCUUUUUCCGGGUUCUCUAAACCACGGCCGGGUAAUCUCCCUGGUAGAGUCAGUCGGGCAGUGUCUCCCCCUGCUUGACUGGCUGCAGUUUUUACCGGACGGUUUGUUUAAUAAAUAAAACAAGUAUAAAAAACCAUAUAAUGUUUUCAUUUUAUAAAUUGUUAUUCAUUAAUUAAAUAUGUAUAGAUAACAACUUGAUUAACAAGCAUAUUUAUACAACAUUGUUUAUUAAACAGACCGUCCGGUACAAACUCUUAGUUAGUACUAUUGCUCAAAAACUGAUUCUCUUGAAUCAGCAGACUCGACAGUUUAUAGCGCCGUCAAGAAGCUGUGUUGUGUUUGUUGAUCGUCUCCACCAUGCACGCGAUAAUCAAGACCAGCAAGCAGCAACGUCUUGAUCAAGAAGAAGAAAAGAACGGAGAAGCAAAGAACGACGAUGUAAAUAGUGGGUUUUCCAUACUGGUACGCUGUAUGACGUCGAGCAUUGCCAAAAUGGAAGUGCUCUUUGAAGAACUGAGCGUCUAAAUCUUCUUCAGUCAGAUGAAGCUAACGGAUUCGGAAAUCGUCGAAGAAGCAGAGGACAUCACAGCUGGAAAAAAAACGCGAGUCAAACUCCUGUAGUUAAGUUCUGCAGCUACUCUCAAAAUAUUUUGUCUUGUUUGCUCGUGUUGAUUGUAGACUGCUUUUAAAUUAUCUAUCAGUGAAGCCCUAAUAAGAGGUCCAAGAGAAAUUUAUUCGGGUCAACUGAUACCAUACCACGUACUAAAUCGUUAAUGGUUUUCAGGUAAAAUAUAACCAUGAGAAUAUGGGGUCGCAGAAAUAGAUGUCAACUGGUGGAAAAUAAGAAGGUGAUACGGUAUUUUUCUUUUCUUUUUUAAAAAUACUGUCUGAUUUUUAAAGAUUUGGUGAGGAACAUCCAAUCUGUCGAUCGCGGUCGCUAACCAAUUGGUAGAAAAACAGCACCAAUAAUGGUCGAACUCGGAUGUGCUUUUUCGAGAUUUUAACACAAAUUGCAUUUUAUACAUA